This 257-nucleotide ribosomal RNA is filed under the name uncultured bacterium. Its description in RNAcentral is "partial 16S ribosomal RNA". It matches the Rfam family "Bacterial small subunit ribosomal RNA", at positions 524 to 776 of the family's 1533-position model. The record is from RNAcentral.
UACAGAGACCUCAAGCGUUAUCCGGAAUCAUUGGGCGUAAAGCGUACCGAUAUGUGGUUUUACAAGUCAGAAGUGAAAUCUCUCAGCUUAACUGGGAGACUGUCUUUUGAAACUGUAAAACUUGAAGGGCAAAGAGGAAGCUGGAACAAACGGUGUAGUAGUGAAAUGCGUUGAUAUCGUUUGGAACACCAAUAGCGUAGGCAGGCUUCUGGGUGCCACUUGACACUGCUAGGACGAAAGCGUGGGGAGCGAUAAGG